Molecule: long non-coding RNA, 1401 nt
Filed under: Canis lupus familiaris (dog)
Lineage: Eukaryota; Metazoa; Chordata; Mammalia; Carnivora; Canidae
Description: lncRNA (ENSCAFG00845012891.1)
Source: RNAcentral
UUUUUUUUUUUUUAGAUUUUUUUCUAAUGAUGUACAACAUUCUGAUUGGAAUGCUCAAUUUAUGUUAUGAUAUUAUCAACAUCUAAAAGUUGGAUGUUUGGGACUCUUGGCAUCAUGAUUUAAUUCUAAUUUUCAUCAGCAACCUGGAAAAACACAAGAUGUUAAGGUGAGUCUGCAGUAUAAUUUGAGCAUAUCUGUCUUCUUCCACUAUAGUGUCUUUCAAGGUGGGGGAGGGGGAACCUCAAACAAAUAAACAUAAAUAUUGAAAUAAAAACACAGAAUAAUGUAAGUGUAUUUAGGCCUUUUCAAAACUGAUUAAGAUAUUUUCCCAACAGUUAUGAGCAAAUCAUUUCUAAGUAAAGUGCAUCUCUAAUUGGGGCAAAGUGAACAUUUUAAAAAAUUUGUUGUCAAUAAUAAUUGAAUAUAAAAACAUAUCACUCAAAAAAUGGCAUCUUCCAAUUAUAAGACCCUGCACUAUUCCUUUUAUGAGAUUUUUGACAGGAUGCAAAAAUCAAAUGGUAAUAAUAAGUAUUUUUCUCACUAUAAUGUGGGAUAAUAAAUCUGGCACCAAUUGAUCAGUGUACUCAACACAAUAUUUAAAUGGUAAAAUGAACCAGUAGGAAGUUUUAUAAUUGAAAGAAUAUUUUUUAAAAGGACACAAAAUGACUUUUGGAACAAAGCUAUAAAACAUGAAAUAUCCAUAUAGCCAUCUAAUGACUUUCAAAGUCAUUGAAACUUUAAGUAGAAGCUACUGGACUUAUAUUAACAAAACUAGAAUAAAUUUUUAAUUAACACUUUUUUGUAGUGAAAUUAAAGAUUUGUUUUAGUCAAGUUUGUUUAUUUAUUUUUAGUAAAAAGUAUUUCACAGAGGCAGUUUGUAGAAAAGGAAAGUUUCUAUCACAUCUUUCAGAAAUGACUAACUUCUUUGCAGCAUGAAGUAAUGUGUCUGAAUGAGCAUGAUCAAUGUUCAUUAAGUGCACUAAACUGACAGGUACAUAAAAUGGCACCACAUGUUUGUGCAUCUGAGCUUUCUAUAAUGAAUAAAUGGAGCAUGUGAUCCCAAAGGCAGCUACACCAGCCAUAACUUUGUAUUUGACACUUGACUGCCCUUAGGAGUCUGUUUGUCAAAAAUCAUCCAUUUGGAAAAAAAAAAAAAGAAAGGCAAAAACUUGAGAGGCUUUCUAGAGGGCAGUUAAACAGAAGCUUCUUAGGCACGCCGCUUCUAGGAGUUAGAUUGUUUUUAGAUGUAUCAAUUAUUUAUUUUAUUGGUUAUCAGUUCAUAACUGUUGGAGUUCAUUCAAAGUUCAUCUCACUACAAACAAUGGCAUCAACUUACAUGCUAAAAUCCAAAGUCAAUGCAAAAAAGAGGGCAAUGCUGCUUUUCCAGUUUGGUGUGGAAAU